AACGAACGCUGGCGGCAUGCCUAACACAUGCAAGUCGAACGAGACCUUCGGGUCUUGUGGCGCACGGGUGCGUACCGCGUGGGAACCUGCCCUUAGGUUCGGAAUAACUCCCCGAAAGGGGUGCUAAUACCGGAUAAUGUCUUCGGACCAAAGAUUUAUCGCCUUUGGAUGGGCCCGCGUUGGAUUAGCUAGUUGGUAGGGUAAAAGCCUACCAAGGCGACGAUCCAUAGCUGGUCUGAGAGGAUGAUCAGCCACACUGGGACUGAGACACGGCCCAGACUCCUACGGGAGGCAGCAGUGGGGAAUAUUGGACAAUGGGCGAAAGCCUGAUCCAGCAAUGCCGCGUGAGUGAUGAAGGCCGUAGGGUUGUAAAGCUCUUUUACCCGGGAUGAUAAUGACAGUACCGGGAGAAUAAGCUCCGGCUAACUCCGUG
This 433-nucleotide ribosomal RNA is filed under the name uncultured bacterium. RNAcentral describes it as "partial 16S ribosomal RNA". It matches the Rfam family "Bacterial small subunit ribosomal RNA", at positions 29 to 507 of the family's 1533-position model. The record is from RNAcentral.